CCUACGGGGGGCAGCAGUCGAGAAUCAUUCACAAUGGGGGAAACCCUGAUGGUGCGACGCCGCGUGGGGGAAUGAAGGUCUUCGGAUUGUAAACCCCUGUCAUAUGGGAGCAAAUUAAAAAGAUAGUACCACAAGAGGAAGAGACGGCUAACUCUGUGCCAGCAGCCGCGGUAAUACAGAGGUCUCAAGCGUUGUUCGGAAUCACUGGGCGUAAAGCGUGCGUAGGCUGUUUCGUAAGUCGUGUGUGAAAGGCGCGGGCUCAACCCGCGGACGGCACAUGAUACUGCGAGACUAGAGUAAGGGAGGGGGAACCGGAAUGCUCGGUGUAGCAGUGAAAUGCGUAGAUAUUGAGAGGAACACUCGUGGCGAAGGCGGGUUCCUGGACAUUAACUGACGCUGAGGCACGAAGGCCAGGGGAGCGAAAGGGAUUAGAUACCCUAGUAGUC
RNAcentral lists this ribosomal RNA (446 nucleotides) under uncultured bacterium. RNAcentral describes it as "partial 16S ribosomal RNA". It matches the Rfam family "Bacterial small subunit ribosomal RNA", at positions 338 to 795 of the family's 1533-position model. The record is from RNAcentral.